Molecule: long non-coding RNA, 4112 nt
Filed under: Mus musculus (house mouse)
Lineage: Eukaryota; Metazoa; Chordata; Mammalia; Rodentia; Muridae
Description: long non-coding RNA chr15:30227653-30231765
Source: RNAcentral
GCAAAGGCUAUGAAAAACCUCCUGUGUGCUCUGAUAUAUACCCCUGAACCUUGAGGUCAGGGCACAUCCACAGGAGUAUACCUGUUGCUUUGCAAUCCGGAUAAAUCUAAACCCUUUAUUAUAUCCAACCAGGCGUAAGUAUCAGACUCUAUACUGACUUCCCUGGGUGCUUUCUGGAUAGUUGAGGCUCCUUUUAUUAAGAAUGAGAAAAAAAAAAACAAUUUAAAUCAGAGUAGCUGGGAUUAUGGGAUGUGUUGACUCUCAUAAGUAAAAGCUCCAGAGUUGUGCGUGAUUUGGACACUGUAAUAAGUGUAAUUUAAAACUGAAUGCUUUCUUUUAUUUUUCUUGAAAGACAUGAUUUUGUGGAUCAUGCAGUUUUUUUUUGUUCUCUAUAAAACAUGGCAAUAAUUGAGUAGAGGAAAGUAAUUUGAUAAACAGUUUAAAAAUCCAUUCUAACUAAAAUAAGUAGGUAGAAGGCAUAGAGCACAGAAUUGUACCUUCUAGAGAAGUCAGCCCUGAAGAUGAAGUGUAAAAAUGAUAAGAGCACCUAGGAUUAAAAUGAUCUUGAUUUCCAUUAAUAUCAAGCUGUGGUAAAGGUAAGCACUAAUACAUUCUUUAGAGCUCUAAACAAUGGCUAGUUUUAACAGAAUUAUGAUUAUUGAAAUAUUUUCUUUAUGCCCACCAACAAUGCUAUUCAGUAAUUAAUUUGAAAGUUACUGUAUAUGUAUUGGCAAGUUACCCUUUUUAUUGAGAAAGGGCAUCAUCUGCUUCCACAUGGUACCUUUUAAAAAAUCAGCUUUUAAAAAACAUAGGAACUUGCCACCUGCAAAAUAUGAAUUAAAAUUUCAUAAAUAGUUCUCUUACACGUGAAAAACUCCCCUGUAUGCUUGUAUUUUUGCCACACCGACAACAUAAAGCAUAUUUAUUAUUUUUCCUCUGGUGUGUGUUUGUGUGUGUGUUUGUGUGUGUGUGUGUGUGUGUUUGUGUGUGUGUGUGUGUGUGUGCGUGUGUGAGAGAGAGAGAGAGAGAGAGAGAGAGAGAGUGUUAGUUUAUAAUAAAAUUACAAAAGUGCUUCAAGUAGAACUGGUAAAGAAAUAAUAGUUUCUCAUCCUUUCCCCUAGUUUUAAGUUCUGAUUUUUAGUAUCUCAUGGAGUUAGUAUUUCACUUGCUCAUGUAUUUUGAAUUAUUCUUUUCUGUAUUGUCAUGCACUGGACAAAUCAUGAUCAUUUUUAGACAUACUAUAAUAACUUGUUUGUUUUUUCUUUCUAAGGAUGUGUAAACUUCUGUUUCUUUUCUUCUCAAAGGGCUUGUGUUAAUUUUCCUUGGCUAAUUUAAUUGAUCUGUUCUUGUUUCUUUGAGAGCAAACAGAUGCUAUGCAUUAAAAAUCUAGAUAUAAAAUCUUAACAAUGUGUAAUAUGACAUUUUCUCUUAGCCUUGGAACACAGUUCUCUUCAUACAUAACUUAAAAAUCCUAGUUCUUUUCUAUAAAUACCAAGAUAUAGACUGUCUAGGCAGUAUUACUUGUUGCCAGACCUUCUCUAACAAAGGCCUCCUGAAUGCACUUCCCCGUCCUGUUCCGCAGCUCAGAAGUCUAGUCCAGGUGUCCUCCAGGACCAAGAGGGGAAUGUCACUGCUCUUCUCCAGCUCCAUAUGGCAGCCUUUGGUGGCACUGCUCUCAGGCUUUGCUGUCAUCUUUUGGUGCCAUAUUCUCUACCAUGUGGAUACCGGUCAUGUGCAGUGCCAGCCUAGUUCUGCACUCUGGUGCCCGCAUUGCAGUGACCCCUAUAUUUCCAAAUAAGACAUUUUGAGGUCUUGAUGAUGUAGGGCAUCCAUGUUGUAAUUUUGUGAGUGUGUGGGAAAUUCAUCACUUCAAAGCAGUUAUCAUUGAGUGGACGAGGUUUAUUUUAUUGAACAAAUAUUUGCUACUUGUCUACAUAGUCCUGCAAUAGGAUGAAGUGUGCAAUGUUCACAGGAAAUAGGUUAGGUUAAGGCCCUCCCUCCCUUACAGCAAGUCAACUUUUCGGUGGUAAAGAGGAGGUAACCUUCUGGCUACCCAGGUCUGGAAGCUGAUGAACAAAUUUACUGUACUUAGACCUGCCCUCCUAACAUGAGUCCGAUUUCCUUUUCUGUCCCUAGCUGUUCAGCCCCAGAAGGUCAGGUUCCUAGACACAUCGUUUUGAUGACUCUAAUAGUAGUGCCUGGUCAUGAAUAUCAUAGCGUUUUGUGUACAUUAAAGUGAACUCUGACUUUUAGGUGAUACACAUGAACACUUCCCAAGAACACUGACUAAGGAUGUUAAAGGCUAUUUUAUUUAUUUACAUGUCAAAUGUUAUCCCAUUUUCUGGUUUCCCCUCUGGAAACCCCCUAUACCAUCCCCCUCUUCUAUGAGGGUGUUCUUCCACCCACCCACCAACUCUCACCUCCUCACCCUGGCAUUCCACUACCCUGGGGCAUCGAACCUUCACAGGACCAAGGUCAUCUCCUCCCAUUGAAGCCCAACAAGGCCAUCCUCUGCUACAUAUGUGGCUGGAGCCGUGGGUUGCUCCAUGUGUACUCUUUGGUUAAUGGUUUAGUCUCUGGGAGCUCUGAUGGUGAUGGUGGGUGUCUGGUUGGUUGAUAUUGUUGUUCUUCCUGUGGGGCUGCAAACCCAUUCAGCUCCUUGGGUGCUUUCUCUAGCUCCUUCAUUGGGGACUCUGUGCUCAGUCCAAUGGUUGGCUGAGAGCAUCCACCUCUGUAUUUGUCAGGCUCUGGCAGAGCUUCUCAGGAGACAGCUAUAUCAAGCUCCUAUCAACAAGCACUUAUUGAACUUCUUAUACAUGGAUAUUAGGAGUAAAAAGUAAUUUCUUGUGGCUGAAGAGUUGGUUCAGUGGUGAAGAGCACCACCUGCUCUUCUAGAGAACCCAGGUUCAAUUCUCAGCACCUUCAUGGAAGCUCACACAUAUCUGUAACUUUGGUUCCAGUGUAUUUAACACCUUGUUUUGACCUCCACAUUGCCAGGCAUGUAUGCAGUACACAGAUGUGUGUGCAUGUAAACACCCAUACACAUAAAAUAAAUAAUAAUAAAUAAUAAUUAAAACUGGCUCCCUGGAUAAAUGUAGUGAUUAGUUAUAAUUUUUUUUAAAAAGUAGUUGAGGUUUUAAUUUAUUUUAUUUUUUUGCCUCUUCAAUCUUCUAAAACCUGACAGUAGAAUAUACCUGGCUUCUAUGAAUGCCCCAUGUUAAGUGAACAAAACAUUGCAUGGACUGACAUGUGUCUAUGAUCAACACAAAGAGAAACAGAAGCUCUGGCCAGGGCUGCUUUACACAGGACACACUCUGGAAAGUUUUGAAUGAGUAAGAUAAUUACAUGUGGAGAUUGACUUCACUGAGAUGGGAUCUGCAACUGCAAAUCCUCAUUUGGCAUCAGGAGUUGCCUGGAAUCUGUCUAGGAAAGUGGUUUGUGUUCCAGUCCUAAGUUCCUUACUUAGAGACCCACAAAAUGCACUCAAGACAAAUCACUAUAGAAACUGUAUUUUAAUAAAAGUCUUUGGGAAGAUAUGCAAGCUUCUUAAAAAUAGACCGGAAGCCUUCUGUAAGUCCGUUUGAUCUGAACUGUGACCCGGUUUUUAUUUGAGUAGAUAACAGGCGUUUGGCUAAGCCAUUAAACACUUUGCCUAUUUACAUGAACAUAUGGAAUACAGAAAGUUAGAGUUUGGAGGAAGCUCAGCAACAUGCCUGCAUCAGAAUCAGCUUGAGAGUGAUGAGAAUGGGGGCUUUGUUUGAAUUCCCUUGUACCCAACUGAUUAUCUAAGAAGAUAAUCAUGUUUUACCCAAUCAUGGCUACUGAUGAUUCAUAAUCUGGAAAUAGGUCAAAGUAUCAUAUUCUUGGUUUUGUAUGUGGAAACCAAACAAAACACUUGACCUGAAAGUCAAAUUAUUAUUACUGAGGAACAUUUAAAGUGGGACAUAGAAUAGAAGAAGGAUGGUAAGGAAACAGUGCCUACUGUGUGUGUUUGUUGUGAUAGCACACUGAGUUUCACUAACAUUAGAAGGCUUAGGAAGCUUGUAAAUCUUUUAAAAAUGCCAUUGACCCAGUAAGUGGGAAAUGUCAAUUAGCAUGUCUAAUGUGCUUCU